UACGUAGGGUCCGAGCGUUGUCCGGAAUUACUGGGCGUAAAGAGCUCGUAGGUGGUUUGUCGCGUUGUCCGUGAAAACUCACAGCUUAACUGUGGGCGUGCGGGCGAUACGGGCAGACUGGAGUACUGCAGGGGAGACUGGAAUUCCUGGUGUAGCGGUGGAAUGCGCAGAUAUCAGGAGGAACACCGGUGGCGAAGGCGGGUCUCUGGACAGUUCCUGACGCUGAGGCACGAAGGCCAGGGGAGCAAACGGG
This 253-nucleotide ribosomal RNA is filed under the name uncultured bacterium. RNAcentral's name for it is "partial 16S ribosomal RNA". It matches the Rfam family "Bacterial small subunit ribosomal RNA", at positions 524 to 776 of the family's 1533-position model. The record is from RNAcentral.